RNAcentral lists this small RNA (43 nucleotides) under Arabidopsis thaliana (thale cress). RNAcentral describes it as "ATSL122800". Lineage: Eukaryota; Viridiplantae; Streptophyta; Magnoliopsida; Brassicales; Brassicaceae. The record is from RNAcentral.
UCGAUGACCUCCGUGGAUGGCGUAUGAGGAGCCAUGCAUAUCC